Molecule: long non-coding RNA, 1081 nt
Organism: Sebastes umbrosus (honeycomb rockfish)
Lineage: Eukaryota; Metazoa; Chordata; Actinopteri; Perciformes; Sebastidae
Exons: 3
Source: RefSeq, a predicted model, not a curated record
UUGUUCCACCACCCUGCUCUCCUGGUGUGUUUAAUCUUCCCUCAUUUAGUGUCAGGUUGUCGGCUUUGUUACUCGUGUUCAUCCUGCCAUCCUGCCUGUGUUCCUUGUGUUCCUCGCGUCUUCCGGUUUGUACUUUUGGUGUUUUUCUUUUGUACUUUGUUUCACCUGUCUGCAUUCUCAGUUUUGUUUCCUGUCGGCUUUAUUUUUUUGCCACCAACUUAUUUAAUUAAAGCUCGCCUUUUAGUUUAAUCAACCUGCCUGCCUGGUCUCUUGCGUUUGAGUCCACCUCUUGAACCAAAACCUUAACAAACGGAGCCAUUAGAACUGGUUGGAAUGGACCUAAUGAGGCUAACUGUUACUGAGGGUGGUAAUCAAUACAUUUGUGUAAUGGUUGAUUAUUUCAUAAAGUGGGCAGAGGCCUACCCUCUGAAGAAUAAGUCUGCAGAGCAGGUGACCAAUUGUAUUCUUGAUUUUGUAUAAAAACGGCUUACAGACCGGAGGCCUGUACUACGAAGCGAGUUCAACAUAAUGAUAAUGUUCGCUUUUAAAAGUGUUAGUCACAAUUAGGCCAUCUUAAAAACUAAAAUGAUCACUUACGGCUCGAUGUAAGGGAGUGGGACACACUGAUCAGGGUUGUCUGCAAGAACCAUCAUUGGACUCUAGUGGCAAGUGCACUUAAAUCAAUGCAAUUUAUGCAACUAAAUGUACAACUCUGACAAUCUUAUACAGUAUGUUCGAGUAUCCUAUCCGUAAAAGGCCAUGUAUCCAAACGAAGGAGGAGCUUUGUUUGUUGACCCAUUUGGUGUCACUUCCAAUCAAUUGUAGGGAUUCAACAAGGGCUUUCAUGUGGAAAAAAAUUUCAGUGUAUCAAGAAGGAUGUGUGACACUGUCUCACAUCCCCGUCAGCAGGAUUCCACAUCCUGUGGAGUGUUGGUCUGCAAAGGAGCAGAGUUAACUGGAGGCAGCAUGGACUUUGCUGUGGACGAGGCAGACAUCAACUCUGUGUGAAGAGAAAUGGGCCUGGAGACUGAUGGAUGAUUCUGAUAAGCUUCAAUCUAUCGCAUAUCAACCUCACCGAAAC